This 253-nucleotide ribosomal RNA is filed under the name uncultured bacterium. RNAcentral describes it as "partial 16S ribosomal RNA". It matches the Rfam family "Bacterial small subunit ribosomal RNA", at positions 524 to 776 of the family's 1533-position model. The record is from RNAcentral.
UACGGAGGGUGCAAGCGUUAUCCGGAUUCACUGGGCUUAAAGGGUGCGUAGGUGGGCAGGUAAGUCAGUGGUGAAAUCCUGUAGCUUAACUACAGAACUGCCAUUGAUACUAUUUGUCUUGAAUACCCUGGAGGUGAGCGGAAUAUGUCAUGUAGCGGUGAAAUGCUUAGAUAUGACAUAGAACAUCUAUUGCGAAGGCAGCUCACUACGGGAAUAUUGACGCUGAGGCACGAAAGCGUGGGGAUCAAACAGG